RNAcentral lists this ribosomal RNA (305 nucleotides) under uncultured eukaryote. RNAcentral's name for it is "partial large subunit ribosomal RNA". It matches the Rfam family "Eukaryotic large subunit ribosomal RNA", at positions 40 to 350 of the family's 3401-position model. The record is from RNAcentral.
AUAUUAAUAAGCGGAGGAAAAGAAACUAACCAGGAUUCCCCUAGUAACGGCGAGUGAAGCGGGAACAGCUCAAAUUUAAAAUCUCCUCGGAGAAUUGUAGUUUACAGAUCGGGUGAUCGAGGUCCUGACCGUGUCCAAGUCUCUUGGAAUAGAGCAUCAGAGAGGGUGAGAAUCCCGUGCGACACGGCCCAGGGCCCGGUACGACGCCAGAUCAAAGAGUCGGGUUGUUUGGGAAUGCAGCCCAAAGCGGGUGGUAUAUUCCAUCUAAGGCUAAAUAUUGGCGAGAGACCGAUAGCGCACAAGUA